UGGUGACCCAACCGUGAUUGUUUUGGGAGUUGGAGCCUUCUGCAAAGGAUCAGGUGCCUCUGUAACUUCUUUGACACUACUUGGAAGGUGGUUCCAGUUAGAUCGGGUCUUCCUCCAGAUGUGAAUCCACCUCCAUGGACUCUCCAUCAGUCUCAGGAGAAACCACAUGUAUCGACACAAUGGUACUUGUCCUCUCCAUCAGCUGCCAUUUUUAGUAGGAUUAUCAGUCUUCCUUACUAACAAGGAACUUUACAUGUGUCUCUUGCACAAAGAGUGUUUGAAAGGUGGCUUCUAUGGCUGAACAACCGUUGUUUUAUUUGCAUGUUCCCUGUAUUUAUAUGGCAUGGAACAGAAGGCACUGUGGUGGCUAUUGACAUUAGGUGGCAACUGGAAUGUGAUUCUGAGAGCGUAAUGUGGUGACCUAAUUUUGGUUGUUUUGGGAUCC
Molecule: long non-coding RNA, 445 nt
Filed under: Gallus gallus (chicken)
Lineage: Eukaryota; Metazoa; Chordata; Aves; Galliformes; Phasianidae
Description: long non-coding RNA NONGGAT003997
Source: RNAcentral